Molecule: RNA transcript, 789 nt
Organism: Eriocheir sinensis (Chinese mitten crab)
Lineage: Eukaryota; Metazoa; Arthropoda; Malacostraca; Decapoda; Varunidae
Exons: 3
Source: RefSeq, a predicted model, not a curated record
AGACGUGGAGUGGAGGGGGUAGGAGGAGGAGGUGCCAAUGACGGGGUCCGAGGCGAUCCCUGUUACCUGUGUUCGUCGGGCAUUAGACGUCAUCGCGGGUCUUGGCCAGCUCUGGAGGAAGACAAGGAAAUACAGCACCACCAACACCACCAACCAACCCAACCCAACCAAGCAACCAGCCAUCAAGACGAUUCAUACCAAGGCGGCGAUACCCUGCAAAUGGACUGAGUGGCCGACAAGGGACGUGAAGGCUGUGGCGCAGGAAGCUAAGCCAGGUAUCGGUAAUUCCAGGUAUCAGUAAUCUCAGGUGUAUCCAGGUGACACGCGGCAUCACUCAGUGGGGCGUGAAGGCAAACCAAUACACGUCUGCCACCUGGAACGAUCCCGCGCUAUACAAAUUUCAGUAAUCCUAUGAGACCUUACCUGUGGCGUCUGCUCGAUUCAACCACACCCCGCGAAGGAAAGGGUGGGAAUGCAAACCGGAAAUUUGUGAACUUGUGGGAGCUUGAACAAAAGGCUUGGGAAUGUGUGGACUUGUUGAACCGAAUCAUAUGAACGUGUGAAAUAGAACUUAGAACUUGUGAAAUGGAAUCUUGAGAACUUGAGAAUGUGUUAAGUUACUGAAUCAAAGUCUUGUGAGCAUGUGAUAUUAGUGAACCAGUGUUUUUAAGCGUGUGAACUUAUUGAAACGAGAACGUGUGAGUGCGUGAAAAUGGACCUAGAACUUGUGAACUGGUGGAAUUUAUUGAACCUGGAUCUUGUGAACGUGUGAAACUGAUCUGAGGAACA